RNAcentral lists this ribosomal RNA (492 nucleotides) under uncultured bacterium. RNAcentral's name for it is "partial 16S ribosomal RNA". It matches the Rfam family "Bacterial small subunit ribosomal RNA", at positions 29 to 507 of the family's 1533-position model. The record is from RNAcentral.
AGUGAACGCUGGCGGUAGGCCUAACACAUGCAAGUCGAACGGCAGCACAGUAAGAGCUUGCUCUUACGGGUGGCGAGUGGCGGACGGGUGAGGAAUACAUCGGAAUCUACUUUUUCGUGGGGGAUAACGUAGGGAAACUUACGCUAAUACCGCAUACGACCUACGGGUGAAAGCAGGGGAUCUUCGGACCUUGCGCGAUUGAAUGAGCCGAUGUCGGAUUAGCUAGUUGGCGGGGUAAAGGCCCACCAAGGCGACGAUCCGUAGCUGGUCUGAGAGGAUGAUCAGACAGACUGGAACUGAGACACGGUCCAGACUCCUACGGGAGGCAGCAGUGGGGAAUAUUGGACAAAGGGCGCAAGCCUGAUCCAGCCAUACCGCGUGGGUGAAGAAGGCCUUCGGGUUGUAGAGCCCUUUUGUUGGGAAAGAAAAGCAGCAGGUUAAUACCCCGCUGUUCUGACGGUACCCAAAGAAUAAGCACCGGCUAACUUCGUG